GACCUCGAAUCAGGUAGGAAUACCCGCUGAACUUAAGCAUAUCAAUAAGCGGAGGAAAAGAAACCAACCGGGAUUACCUCAGUAACGGCGAGUGAAGCGGUAACAGCUCAAAUUUGAAAUCUGGCUCCUCUGGAGUCCGAAUUGUAAUUUGUAGAAGAUGCUUUGGGUUGUGGGUUCGGCCUAAGUUCCUUGGAACAGGACGUCAUAGAGGGUGAGAAUCCCGUAUGUGGCCGAGGCCCGCGCCUAUGUAAAGCUCUUUCAACGAGUCGAGUUGUUUGGGAAUGCAGCUCAAAAUGGGUGGUAAAUUUCAUCUAAAGCUAAAUAUGGGCCAGAGACCGAUAGCGCACAAGUAGAGUGAUCGAAAGAUGAAAAGCACUUUGGAAAGAGAGUUAAACAGUACGUGAAAUUGUUGAAAGGGAAGCGCUUGCACCCAGACUUGGGCGCUGCUGAUCAC
RNAcentral lists this ribosomal RNA (454 nucleotides) under Erysiphe heraclei. RNAcentral's name for it is "partial large subunit ribosomal RNA". It matches the Rfam family "Eukaryotic large subunit ribosomal RNA", at positions 1 to 452 of the family's 3401-position model. The record is from RNAcentral. Lineage: Eukaryota; Fungi; Ascomycota; Leotiomycetes; Helotiales; Erysiphaceae.